UUGCGCAAUGGGCGAAAGCCUGACGCAGCAACGCCGCGUGAGCGAAGAAGGCCUUCGGGUUGUAAAGCUCUGUCAGGGGGAAAGAAGGCACCUGGGUUAACAGCCCAAGGGCUGACGGUACCUCCAAAGGAAGCCACGGCUAACUACGUGCCAGCAGCCGCGGUAAUACGUAGGUGGCCAGCGUUCUCCGGAAUCAUUGGGCGUAAAGAGCGCGUAGGUGGCUUGGCAAGUCUGAUGUGAAAACCUGGGGCUUAACUCCAAGCCUGCGUCGGUGACUGGCUUGCUAGAGUCUGGGGGAGGAGGGUGGAAUUCCUGGUGUAGCGGUGAAAUGCGUAGAUAUCAGGAGAAACACCGGUAGCGAAGGCGGCUCUCUGGAACAGUACUG
RNAcentral lists this ribosomal RNA (385 nucleotides) under uncultured bacterium. RNAcentral's name for it is "bacterial SSU rRNA". It matches the Rfam family "Bacterial small subunit ribosomal RNA", at positions 364 to 742 of the family's 1533-position model. The record is from RNAcentral.